CAAUAUUUUAUACGAUCAUCAUGAUAUUCAGUAGAUAUGUUGGGUGAAGGCAUAUGAUCAUGAGGACAAAGCCAUUUUAAAAUUGCUCCAUAGGGGGCGCGAUGGUGCCAAUGCUUGGACCCCUCCCAACGCCGCUUGCGGCUUUAAUUGGUAGUUAUAUUUGCACCGUUGUUAAGAAAAAACCUCUGGUCGUUAAUUCUAUGAAAACAAUGAUUCUUUCAAAAGAAAUAGUUAUUUCUCAUUUUAUACCAUACAAUUUGCACCAAUUUUGGUCAUUUUUGUCAUUACAUUAUUUAAUAAAACUCCAUGAAACCAUAAGUCAAUCUAAUUCAUCUCCCUAGCACUGUCUUGCUUUUUAAAUGGUGUGGUCACGCAGUGUAGAACUAACAUCUUUCUAAAACCCUCUGAAACGGGUUUUGAAUGCCAGCUAGCUUUAUGAUAGGUUCACCGUCACUUGUCACCUAGCCAAUAUUAAAAUGAUUGGUUUUAGGUCAGAAUGGUCUCACGGCAUGCUUGUUAUCCCUGCUAGUUAGCUAGCUAACUAUUGAAUUGUAUUCAAAACAGCGGUUACUAUAAACGCAAUUGUUCAUAAACAUAUGGAUGAAAAUGCGUCCCGUAGCCAUGAGUUAAAUGCGGAAUGCCUAUUCUACUGUCCAAAUAAGGGAUGAUUCCAUAUUUUGCAGGAUGGUUGGCAACCGUAAUUAUAAAGCUAGCAACAGUAACUAGAAAUGUGAUUCAACGUUUCCAUCAAUUGUGAAAUUUGACAUUGAAAAGGGGAGUGGAUGUAACAACAAUUCAAGAGCAAAAGAAUAAUGUUGCUGUUUAAACUGCUUUAGAAUGCUGGAUUUUGUACCGCAUCAAUUUUAGAACUGUUAACAGGCCAAAGUGUCCUUUUACUGAGAAAUAAUGCCCACCCUUAGACCAACCGGAAUCGAAUAUUCAGCCAAGCCGUUGUAUAAUGGCAUAUAAUGUAUACAAUACGAAUAAGUGCUUUGUCAAAUGCAAAAUGGUAUGUCACAACGCCACCUAAGUGUGAGACACUUUGUUGUCUAUUGUAGUCUCUAAGCAGCCAGUAGACCAGUUUGCUGCUGGCAGUGAAGAAGAGGCAGUACCAAGCACCAGCCAUGAGCCCAUAACUCCAGAGUGGGCAGUGUCAGAGGCAGUGCCAGGACCCAGUAAUGUGCCCAGAAGGAUCCCUGCUGUGGAAGGCACAUGUAUAGAUGAGUCUCAUAGGCCUACUGAAGGAAGUGUAAAAGAGAGAGCAGAGUCUACUCAGGGACUGAUCACAGAGGCAACAACAGCUCAUCAGCAGACGCCUGAACCACAAGCUAAGAAAAAGACACAUGAAGAUGAGGCUGUUGAUUGUUUUGAUUACUUUGCUCGCCCUCAGUCACAGGAUAUAGAUAUGUUUUUUUGUUAUCAUCCUCAACAAACACCAAAACUUCCUAUACCAAAAGUUUUCAACAGCAAAGAUGGAACCAACCGCAAGUGGUUGACUUACUGUGAAAAAAAUCAAUCUCUGUACUGUACUGUCUGUUUGGCAUUUGCACCUUUGGUUAGUUAUAGCCCUUUCAUAAAGGGAGGCAUGAAAGCCUGGAAACAAAGGAUAGUGGAACAUGAAAAAAGUAAGAUCCAUAGAGAUAGUGCAGAUGCUUACUUUCUACAUGUAAAAAAGGCAGAUGUGAAAAGCCUGUUGAUUGGCAACCAAAUGUCAUGACAUAGCGAGCAAGUGAAGAAGAAACAUCAGGUGAUGGAGCACAUAGUGGAUGUCACUAAAGUUACAGGCAAAUGUGGCCUUAGCUACAGGGGAGAUAAAGCAGAGGCUCCUCUAGCUUGGAAAACAUUGCUGUUAAUCAUGGCAACGUCCUAGAACUGAUUCUACUCUUGAGCAAAUAUGACGUUUGCCUCCAACAGCAUGUAAACAGUUGCAUAGAGAAUAGUAAGAAGCAGCAUGAAACUGGCACAAA
This is a long non-coding RNA of Anguilla rostrata (American eel), 1967 nucleotides long. RefSeq lists it as uncharacterized. NCBI's taxonomy places the organism in Eukaryota, Metazoa, Chordata, Actinopteri, Anguilliformes, Anguillidae. The record is from RefSeq and is a predicted model, not a curated record. The transcript has 3 exons.